AUUGAACGCUGGCGGAAUGCUUUACACAUGCAAGUCGAACGGCAGCACGGACUUCGGUCUGGUGGCGAGUGGCGAACGGGUGAGUAAUACAUCGGAACGUGCCCAAUCGUGGGGGAUAACGUAGCGAAAGCUACGCUAAUACCGCAUACGAUCUAAGGAUGAAAGCGGGGGAUCGCAGGACCUCGCGCGAUUGGAGCGGCCGAUGGCAGAUUAGGUAGUUGGUAGGGUAAAGGCCUACCAAGCCGACGAUCUGUAGCUGGUCUGAGAGGAUGAUCAGCCAUACUGGGACUGAGACACGGCCCAGACUCCUACGGGAGGCAGCAGUGGGGAAUUUUGGACAAUGGACGCAAGUCUGAUCCAGCCAUUCCGCGUGCAGGAUGAAGGCCCUCGGGUUGUAAACUGCUUUUGUACAGAACGAAAAGGCUCUGGUUAAUACCUAGGGCUCAUGACGGUACUGUAAGAAUAAGCACCGGCUAACUACGUGCCAGCAGCCGCAGUAA
This 500-nucleotide ribosomal RNA is filed under the name uncultured bacterium. RNAcentral describes it as "partial 16S ribosomal RNA". It matches the Rfam family "Bacterial small subunit ribosomal RNA", at positions 30 to 523 of the family's 1533-position model. The record is from RNAcentral.